CAGCAUGCUGUUAAAGUCAGCCUGGAUUCAAGGGAAAAGGAACUGAUGCUAUCUCAACAGAAGGAGUAACAGCUUGUAGCCAUCUCACAUCUACUGCAGUUACUACUCUCAGUAUUGGCUUUAUUUUUGUAUAUUUAGAGCAACGACUCAGGAGUCAGUGUUAAAUCGAAUGCUCCGAAAAUCAUAGUAAUUCAAGAGUUGAGAGAAG
This 208-nucleotide long non-coding RNA is filed under the name Capra hircus (goat). RNAcentral describes it as "lncRNA (ENSCHIG00000001302.1)". The record is from RNAcentral. Lineage: Eukaryota; Metazoa; Chordata; Mammalia; Artiodactyla; Bovidae.